GAUGAAGAACGUAGCAAAAUGCGAUAAGUAAUGUGAAUUGCAGAAUUCAGUGAAUCAUCGAAUCUUUGAACGCACAUUGCGCCCGCUGGUAUUCCGGCGGGCAUGCCUGUUCGAGCGUCAUUUCAACCCUCAAGCCCCCGGGUUUGGUGUUGGGGAUCGGCUCUGCCCUUCUGGGCGGUGCCGCCCCCGAAAUACAUUGGCGGUCUCGCUGCAGCCUCCAUUGCGUAGUAGCUAACACCUCGCAACUGGAACGCGGCGCGGCCAUGCCGUAAAAACCCAACUUCUGAAUGUUGACCACGGAUCAGGUAGGAAUACCCGCUGAACUUAAGCAUAUCAAUAAGCGGAGGA
Molecule: unclassified non-coding RNA, 348 nt
Filed under: soil metagenome
Description: partial contains 5.8S ribosomal RNA, internal transcribed spacer 2, and large subunit ribosomal RNA
Rfam family: 5.8S ribosomal RNA (bases 1-120)
Source: RNAcentral